Long non-coding RNA from Amphimedon queenslandica, 566 nucleotides. RefSeq lists it as uncharacterized. Lineage: Eukaryota; Metazoa; Porifera; Demospongiae; Haplosclerida; Niphatidae. The transcript is spliced from 4 exons. The record is from RefSeq and is a predicted model, not a curated record.
UAUACUACACCACUUCCUCCUAUUCAGUAUUACAUUAUUAGUGUAUACAAUACAUCAAACAGUAUUAUAUACACUAAUAAUACAACUAAUACUAAUAUUACUAUCACUGGACUACCUCUUACUGAUACAAACUACACUGUUACUAUCAUUCCUGUUAAUGUUAUUGGAUAUGGACCAUCAGCUACUGUUAAUGUCAGUAUAACUAAUGCAAUGACCAGUAGUUCAAUUACAAGUAUAUUAUCAGUUACAUUAACUACUGAUAUUAGUACCAGUACACCAUUAAUUUAUAUAUCAUCUACUUCAAAUAUAGUUACAAAAACCUCCAGUACUGAUUCAUCAUACACACUGUCAGUUGAUCCAUCAACAACCACCAUUGAACUCACUCCUACAACUACAUUUACUAGCACACAAUCAACUACUACUACUAUUACUACUGACUCUGCUACUGGUUCUAAUGCUGUUCCUAUUAUAUCAGGAGCUAUUGGAACAGUAUUUUUUAUAAUAAUAAUUAUUAUUAUUAUAUUGGUAAUAGUAUUACUAGUACUGGCAAUCAAGAAACAAAGAAG